CCGGCGGCUACCUCUAGCCUGGGAACCAACAUAUGCAGCGAGAGAGACCCAAGAAAUGGCAAAAAGACAAAAAAUAAAAUAAAAUAAAAUAAAAAGAGAAGACUAGGUGCAGAAGUCAAGGCGCCUCUGCGGAGGUGACACUGCAGCUGAGACCCAAGUGGAAGGGUGCCCUCAGCCGAGAGAAGAGCAGGUGCAAAGGCGCAGAGGCUUGCUGGCAGAAGCCGGGGCUAGGAAGGUGGAGUUUAGCAUUUGGGGGGAACUUGGAAGGUGUGCAAGAUAAGGCGCCAAGGCUUCAUCCCGGGGCUGGUGGACGGCGCAGGCGGGGAGGCAUUGCCAGAGCCUCCUGGCAACGGCAAGAGGGUGAGGUUUAGAGGCCCAGGACCAGGCAGGAGGCUGUUGGAGUAAAACCCGGCUCUGAGAGGGCCAGGGCUUGCAGGGUUUGUUGACUGCUGUGUACCUGCUUCCUUCCUUAUUGGAAGGAGGGGAGGAAGGUGCACCCCUGUCUCAGAACAGGUGGAACAGGUAGACUCAGCAGGGAAGAGAAGAGAGCAGAUCCAGGGUGUGUUCCGGGGAAAGGAACCACUGUGGUGCGGAGAUGGGCCAGAGAUGGGCACCUGGACGGUGCCUUUGAUACCUCAUCCUGGGUUGAGGGGUGUCUGAGGAGUCGGGGACAAAAGACAGGCAGGGGCAGCCUCCCUUUGGAGGCCUCUCUGCUGAGGCCUCUGCACACUCCUGGGAGGGGGCUUGGCAGGCGGAGUCAGUCCGGGUUGUGGUUCUCCCUCUGGAUUUAGAUUUGGGGAGUGGGGGCCAUUUAGAGAAGGUAUAUGACCUCGGCAUCAUGGUCACAUUGGCCAGGCCAGGUGGUGGUAUAAUUGUAACAGAGCCGCAGCCCUGGCCCUGCAACAAGCAGUUAAGGGGCCCAGGGGGUCGGUGUUGGGGAUGUCGUGGUCUUGCUGGGCCCUGCCUGCCGUGCGGGGAGUCAAUGAGGAGCCCAUGGCAGCGGGUCAGAGUCCCACACAUCCUGGGCCAAGUCGAUGUGUACCUGAAAGGCCUUGAAUCCAGAGCCGUUGUCCAGGGAGGUGGUGACAACCUAGGUGGGGAUGAGGCAGGCCCUGUGGUCCCACCGAGGCGCAUGGAGGAGGCACAGGCAGCUGGGCUGACAGCCCCUUCUGGGUUUUCUGUUGUUCAUGCUCCGAAGUCAUAGAAUUUGGCAUGCAUAUAACUUUCAACACAUUUUAUAUUAAAUCUAAAAGCAUGAUUUAGUCAGACACUUAGGAAUUUAAUCAAAUUUGGUUCUGAAUAUUGUUGAUUUUAUCAUCAGCUGUUGAGCUUUGAAAUCUAAGCAUCUGGGCUUUUGCCACUUUGAGAAGCAGCGGAACAUGUUUGGAAGGAACAUGAGAAAAUAAAACUCCAGUGGUCCCCAGACCCCAGCCUUCCAGGAGGCCUGGGCCUCUCCCCUCCCGGCCCCCAGUGGCAACCUGCUGAGGCCAUAGGGAUUGGGGGCCUCUGGGGGUCUCUGGCUCAGGUGCGAGGGAAGUGGGGGGCGGACUCCCGUGGACAGGGCAUUGGGCAGCUAGCCCCAGGCCUGGGGCUCCGCACCACGGGCAUCCUGUGGGCUCUGGCCCGUGUCCCGAGCCCACUUCCUUUUCCCACAGGGCCGAGGGCCACCUGCUUCCCAUGAGGGGCUGCCGCACGUUGAGAGCCUACUCGCCUCAAGGCUGAAUGUCCCCCUGCUUUAUCCGCUAUGGGCCUGAUGGCCUCUGCGGUGCCUGCCCUUGGAGGCUCCGGCCCUGCAGGUGUCAAGUCUGACUGGCCUGGGCCCUGGGACCUUACUGUCUCCGUGUGUUUGAGGAACUGACUGGGUUGAGGCCAGCUCCUCCCCAUCUGGCGUGCCUGCUCAUCCCCAGACGAUUGGUGGCCACCCUUGGACCUGCCUUCCAGCCCUCCGUCUGGGCACUGGCCUUGGCUCCUGCCCUGUCUUGUCUGCUGCCUUGUGAGACUGGGCCAGGGACCCCCAGACUUGCGUGGCCUCGGCUUCUCAUUGAGUCCUGGGGCUAAAGGUCUGGGAUUGGAAUUUGCCCAGACAGAAACUGUCCAGUUUGUCUUGCAACCAAAGGGCAAGGGCAGUCUGGAGUUGGAGGAGGGGGAAGAGGACCUUGGGAUAUGGCCACCACCAGCCCGGGGGGAACAAUUCCUGCGGGUUCUGGCUCUAGGGCAGCCCCCUGCCUGUGUUCUGGACAAAAACAUGGGGUGCCCUCCUCCCCCUGCUUCCUGCUCAGAGGCACCUUGGACCCUGGAAGGGGACCUUGAGGAGGGUUGCCUGCAGCUGGAUGGAGUGGGCAGAUGGAGGAGGGCUCCCUGAGACCUUGACCACCAGUGACAGAACGCCUAGCUUGCCUUCUCUGGAUCUUGACUUGGCCAAGAAAUAAACCCUUGCCUUUUUAAA
Sus scrofa (pig) is the source of this 2446-nucleotide long non-coding RNA. RefSeq lists it as uncharacterized. The record is from RefSeq and is a predicted model, not a curated record. Lineage: Eukaryota; Metazoa; Chordata; Mammalia; Artiodactyla; Suidae.